Molecule: ribosomal RNA, 344 nt
Filed under: uncultured eukaryote
Lineage: Eukaryota
Description: SSU rRNA
Rfam family: Eukaryotic small subunit ribosomal RNA
Source: RNAcentral
CCAGCAGCCGCGGUAAUUCCAGCUCCAAUAGCGUAUAUUAAAGCUGUUGCAGUUAAAAAGCUCGUAGUUGGAUCCGAGUCUGAUGGGUCGGCGCUCUGCCAACCGGUGGAGGUCUGUCCGGCCCUGGACUGAAUUGCCGGGAGGGUCCUGGUGCCCUUGAUCGGGUGCCGGGGCCUGCCCGCAAGAUUUACUUUGAAAAAAUCAGAGUGCUCAAAGCAGGCCGGGAGAGCCUGAAUGCAAUUUCAUGGAAUAAGCGAACAUGACCUCCGUUCUGGUGGGUUCCAGUCCUGGAGGUAAUGAUCAAGAGGGCUUGACGGGGGCAUACGUAUUGCAGGGCGAGAGGU